UUCUUUCAAAAAUUCUACAAAAAUUUGGAAAUGUUAAGUGAUGCAUGUGGCUCACUUUUAUGCAAAAACCCUUCUUGGCCUUUACUAAAUUUUGAGCACGACAUCCUCAUUUCUGUUCUGGUCCAUUUUGGUGAUUUGUACUGCGGCCCUAUUUUAUUUUGCCUCAAUCCCCAUGAGAUUUUUCCUUCUUGUAGUAGAUCCUACCAAACCCUUAAGUCCAAGAGAUUAGAGUAAUUGGAAUAUUGUUAGCCCAUACAAUAAUGCCCUAGAGUUUCUGUCCACAAAAGCUUUUCUCCAAAACUUGUACUAGCAACUUUCUCCUUCUCUCAAACUAACCUUGCCAUCAUUCUUAUCCUCUAAAGAGACCUUGUUCUGGAAAUUUUUGGUGGCCAGCAAAGCUCCCUAGAUUCCCAUGGCAUUCUGUUGAGC
This 429-nucleotide long non-coding RNA is filed under the name Hordeum vulgare. Its description in RNAcentral is "long non-coding RNA (HVUL_LNC013209)". The record is from RNAcentral. Lineage: Eukaryota; Viridiplantae; Streptophyta; Magnoliopsida; Poales; Poaceae.